CUAGUAACGGCGAGUGAAGCGGGAAAAGCUCAAAUUUGAAAUCUGGCGGNCUACGGCCGUCCGAGUUGUAGUCUAGAGAGGUGUCUUCUGCGUCGGACCAUGCACAAGUCCCUUGGAACAGGGCGUCAUAGAGGGUGAGAAUCCCGUCCGUGGCAUGGACUCCCGGUGCUUUGUGAUGCGCCUUCGAAGAGUCGAGUUGUUUGGGAAUGCAGCUCAAAAUGGGUGGUAAAUUCCAUCUAANGCUAAAUACAGGCGAGAGACCGAUAGCGAACAAGUACCGUGAGGGAAAGAUGAAAAGCACUUUGGAAAGAGAGUUAAACAGUACGUGAAAUUGUUGAAAGGGAAACGCUUGGAGUCAGUCGCGUUUGCCGGGACUCAGCCUUGCUUCUGCUUGGUGCACUUCCUGGUACACGGGCCAGCAUCGAUUUUGAUCGCCGGAAAAAGGCUUGGGGAAGGUGGCACCUUCGGGUGUGUUAUAGCCCCUUGUUGUAUACGGUGGUUGGGAUUGAGGACCGCAGCACGCCUUUUGGUCGGGGUUCGCCCACGCCACGUGCUUAGGAUGCUGGCGUAAUGGCUUUAAACGACCCGUCUUGAAACACGGACCAAGGAGUCUAACAUGCCUGCGAGUGUUUGGGUGUAAAACCCAGGCGCGUAAUGAAAGUGAAAGGUUGGGACUCUUCGCUGAGGCACCGACGCCCGAUCCUGAC
RNAcentral lists this ribosomal RNA (707 nucleotides) under Pseudohydnum gelatinosum. RNAcentral's name for it is "partial large subunit ribosomal RNA". It matches the Rfam family "Eukaryotic large subunit ribosomal RNA", at positions 80 to 775 of the family's 3401-position model. The record is from RNAcentral. Lineage: Eukaryota; Fungi; Basidiomycota; Agaricomycetes; Auriculariales.